This 64-nucleotide transfer RNA is filed under the name Cherax quadricarinatus. RNAcentral describes it as "tRNA-Thr". Lineage: Eukaryota; Metazoa; Arthropoda; Malacostraca; Decapoda; Parastacidae. The record is from RNAcentral.
GGUUCUAGUAGUUUAAACAAAAAUUUUGGUCUUGUAAACCAAAGAUAAAGCCCAUUUUUAGAAC